This 67-nucleotide transfer RNA is filed under the name Marmota monax (woodchuck). Its description in RNAcentral is "tRNA.Ala". The record is from RNAcentral. Lineage: Eukaryota; Metazoa; Chordata; Mammalia; Rodentia; Sciuridae.
GGUUAAGGCUCAGUGGUAGAGCACUUGCCUAGCAUGUGUGAGGCUCUGGGUUUGAUUCUCAGCACCA